AUUGAACGCUGGCGGCAGGCCUAACACAUGCAAGUCGAGCGGAAGGUUCUUCGGAACCGAGAGCGGCGGACGGGUGAGGAAAGCGUGGGAAUCUGCCUGUAGAUGGGGGAUAGCCCGGAGAAAUCCGGAUUAAUACCGCAUAAUACCUGAGGGUAAAGUGGAGGAUCGCAAGACUUCACGUCUACAGAUGAGCCCACGUCAGAUUAGCUAGUUGGUAGGGUAAAGGCCUACCAAGGCGACGAUCCGUAGCUGGUCUGAGAGGAUGAUCAGCCACACUGGAACUGAGACACGGUCCAGACUCCUACGGGAGGCAGCAGUGGGGAAUAUUGGGACAAUGGGGGCAACCCUGAUCCAGCCAUGCCGCGUGUGUGAAGAAGGCCUCGGUUGUAAG
RNAcentral lists this ribosomal RNA (391 nucleotides) under uncultured bacterium. Its description in RNAcentral is "bacterial SSU rRNA". It matches the Rfam family "Bacterial small subunit ribosomal RNA", at positions 30 to 429 of the family's 1533-position model. The record is from RNAcentral.